RNAcentral lists this non-coding RNA (84 nucleotides) under Halalkalibacter akibai. RNAcentral describes it as "Bacillus akibai c-di-GMP-II sequence". It matches the Rfam family "Cyclic di-GMP-II riboswitch aptamer". The record is from RNAcentral. RNAcentral also lists the same sequence under 1 other name. Lineage: Bacteria; Bacillati; Bacillota; Bacilli; Caryophanales; Bacillaceae.
UAACUUUAGGGGUGCUAUGAAAGAUAGCCUUUAUUUGGACACUUGGGCUAUGUGGAGCUAGUAGUGUAACCGACCCUCUUAUUU